GACGAACCGUGCGAACGUUGUUCGGAAUCACUGGGCUUAAAGGGCGCGUAGGCGGGCUGUCAAGUCUGGGGUGAAAUGCCGCGGCUCAACCGUGGAACUGCCUCAGAUACUGACGGCCUCGAGGGAGGUAGGGGCGUGCGGAACUGUAGGUGGAGCGGUGAAAUGCGUUGAUAUCUACAGGAACUCCGGUGGCGAAAGCGGCGCGCUGGACCUCUUCUGACGCUGAGGUGCGAAAGCGUGGGGAGCAAACAGG
This 253-nucleotide ribosomal RNA is filed under the name uncultured bacterium. RNAcentral's name for it is "partial 16S ribosomal RNA". It matches the Rfam family "Bacterial small subunit ribosomal RNA", at positions 524 to 776 of the family's 1533-position model. The record is from RNAcentral.